UUUAAAACACAGAGAAACAGCAAUGGCAAAAACAUCCCUUUUAAACACUGAGAAACAGCAAUGGCAAAAACUUCAGUGUUGUUAUCAUGCUUGAUGGUUUUAUGUCUCGUAGUAUUUGCAACAGGGUUUGGUUGUAACUAUACCUGCCAUGAACCAACUGUUUGUGCUAAACUGCGAUGUGCUCCUAAUUGCCUAAGGCGAUGCCGUAACCUGUGCUGCGUUUGCUACUGUCUUGGAAAUGAAAAACCUGAAAUAAAGAUGUAACAAUUCCAUGCCUUUGCUUGGAAUUUAUAAGUAAUAAGAGAAGUUGAAGUAAUAAG
Molecule: small RNA, 320 nt
Filed under: Vigna angularis var. angularis
Lineage: Eukaryota; Viridiplantae; Streptophyta; Magnoliopsida; Fabales; Fabaceae
Description: Non-protein coding transcript
Source: RNAcentral